This 770-nucleotide long non-coding RNA is filed under the name Olea europaea subsp. europaea. Lineage: Eukaryota; Viridiplantae; Streptophyta; Magnoliopsida; Lamiales; Oleaceae. The record is from RNAcentral.
CAAAUAUUUUCUUAUUUUUUCCGAUUUACAUUUUUUGGCAGGUAUCUGAUCCUUGGUUCCUUGCAUACAUUUUUCUAUUUCUUGGUGCCUAUGGAAAAGACUGCUUAGAUUUCGUAUUCGCCAAAGGCACAUUCCGAAGAUGGUGGAGUGAUCAAAGAAUGUGGCAUAUGAGGGGAGUUUCAUCACAUUUAUUUGGAUCAAUAGAAUUCAUAACCAAAAGAUUGGGCAUCUCCACACAAGGAUUCAAUGUGACAAGCAAAGUAAUGGAUGACGAACAAAGUAAAAGAUAUGAUCAAGGAAUAAUUGAAUUUGGAGUAGAAUCCCCUAUGUUUGUGACAUUAGCAAUGGCUGCAACUCUGAAUUUAAUGGCCUUUUUCUGUGGUGGGAUAGUGCAGAUUUUCAAGGAGAGAAAUUUGGAAGUAUUUUUUGUACAAGUGUUUAUUGCAGGAUUUGCGGUACUGAAUUGCUUGCCUAUAUAUGAAGCCAUGUUUUUUAGAAGUGAUAAAGGAAGGAUGCCUACAAGGACUACCAUCAUUUCUACUCUUCUUGUAGGAGGGCUUUGUGCAGCUUCCUCUUUUAUACUCAAGAUGUGAAAUUUAAUGGGGAUUAUUACUCGAUAACUUCAUGUAAAACUAUUUAAUGUAUUUCUCGGCAUGUUUAGUAUGAAAUAUUUGUAUAUGAUUUAUAGUACUUUGAAUAAAACUUUAGCUUCUUUUGAUUUUCUUGAUUUGUCCAUUGUUGUAUUAUUGAAUUUACUAAACAAGCCUUUG